RNAcentral lists this ribosomal RNA (500 nucleotides) under uncultured bacterium. RNAcentral describes it as "bacterial SSU rRNA". It matches the Rfam family "Bacterial small subunit ribosomal RNA", at positions 28 to 481 of the family's 1533-position model. The record is from RNAcentral.
GAUGAACGCUGGCGGCGUGCCUAAUACAUGCAAGUCGAACGCAUUGUGGUUGAAAUGAUAUGAAGAACUUGUUCAGAUUUGAUUUUCAACAUUGCAAUGAGUGGCGAACGGGUGAGUAACACGUGGGAAACCUACCUCUUAGCAGGGGAUAACAUUUGGAAACAAAUGCUAAUACCGUAUAAAUAAUUAAAACCGCAUGGUUUUAGUUUAAAAGAUGGUCUCGCUAUCACUAAGAGAUGGUCCCGCGGUGUAUUAGUUAGUUGGUGAGGUAAUGGCUCACCAAGACAAUGAUACAUAGCCGAGUUGAGAGACUGACCGGCCACAAUGGGACUGAGACACGGCCCAUACUCCUACGGGAGGCAGCAGUAGGGAAUCUUCCACAAUGGACGAAAGUCUGAUGGAGCAACGCCGCGUGUGUGAUGAAGGGUUUCGGCUCGUAAAACACUGUUGUAAGAGAAGAAUGACAUUGAGAGUAACUGUUCAAUGUGUGACGGUAUCUA